This 446-nucleotide ribosomal RNA is filed under the name uncultured bacterium. RNAcentral describes it as "bacterial SSU rRNA". It matches the Rfam family "Bacterial small subunit ribosomal RNA", at positions 329 to 793 of the family's 1533-position model. The record is from RNAcentral.
CUCCAGACUCCUACGGGAGGCAGCAGUGGGGGAUAUUGCACAAUGGGGGAAACCCUGAUGCAGCGACGCCGCGUGGGUGAAGAGGCGCCUCGGCGCGUAAAGCCCUGUCAGCAGGGAAGAAAAUGACGGUACCUGAAGAAGAAGCCCCGGCUAACUACGUGCCAGCAGCCGCGGUAAUACGUAGGGGGCAAGCGUUAUCCGGAUUUAUUGGGUUUAAAGGGUGCGUAGGCGGAAUAUCAAGUCAGCGGUAAAAAUUCGGGGCUCAACCCCGUCGUGCCGUUGAAACUGAUGUUCUUGAGUGGGCGAGAAGUAUGCGGAAUGCGUGGUGUAGCGGUGAAAUGCAUAGAUAUUAGGAGGAACACCAGUGGCGAAGGCGGCCUGCUGGACGAUGACUGACGUUGAGGCUCGAAAGCGUGGGGAGCAAACAGGAUUAGAUACCCCUGUAA